UGAGAUAUUCUGAGCAAGCAU
This 21-nucleotide microRNA is filed under the name Drosophila mojavensis. RNAcentral describes it as "Dmo-Novel-3-v2_3p (mature (guide))". The record is from RNAcentral. Lineage: Eukaryota; Metazoa; Arthropoda; Insecta; Diptera; Drosophilidae.